This is a long non-coding RNA of Neopsephotus bourkii (Bourke's parrot), 339 nucleotides long. RefSeq lists it as uncharacterized. The transcript is spliced from 2 exons. The record is from RefSeq and is a predicted model, not a curated record. Lineage: Eukaryota; Metazoa; Chordata; Aves; Psittaciformes; Psittacidae.
GCACCCCGAGCAGCCGCCAAGCCACAGGGUGUUAUGGUCUGCAGGGAAACCCCACCAGUUCUGGCAGGUAAACUGAGGCACAGAGCCACCAGGCGUUGGGAAUUCAACCAGAGCCAGAGAGAUGAGCAGGACAGAGCAGUCAGCUGCACCCAGGACUUUGCCCCCAACCUGACCCCAUCCUGAGGUGGGAGGAUAUUUCCCUUUGCAUGGCACAUCUUCAUCCUGCUGUGCCGGCUCAGGGAGAAAAUAAAAGGAGCAAGACUGGUUCCCUUCCUCCACCCAGCACUUAUGCCAUCUGAUAAACAAAAUGGAAAUAAAUCCUCCUGCAUUUGCAGCAAA